AUAAAGUUCAUCCUGUUUCCUCAUAAAGAUUUUGCAUGGAAAAAUACAUGCAUGUAUAAAAAGCUGUUACACGGUGUAGUAGAGUUUUGCUAUGCUUUAAGCUCAGUUUUUAGGGCUUGGAUAUCAUCUGCAGUACUGUUUUUUUGCAUGCAUGUGUGUUUGUUGAAACAAAUCUCAUGAGUGUUCUGUCACGCUGCAGGACCUUUGCUUGGAAUUCACUUUUAGUUCUUCAUGAUAAAAUUAUUUGAGAGCCAGGUACUGUCGCUGAGUUUGAAAUAUAUAAUGAAAUAUGUUGAAAUACUUUUUUGUAUCUAACCAGAUUUUUUUUUUUUUUUUUUUUUUGCUGUAGGGCUUUAAUGCUUGUAUGCAGCUUACAGUUACUAUUGCUAUUACAGACACACUAAGACAAAGGCUUAAAAUGUUUUCCUUCUGUCUGGCUAUUGAUGGCAUCCAGUCCUGAUUCUUAUUGGGAACUCACUGUAGUUUGUAAGAUAGCUGGUAAAUUUAUGAUAAAAUGCUGUGGUUUUUUGUUUGUUUGUUUUUUUCCAGUUUUGUUUUGUAGCUUCUCCUCCUCAAAUGUGAGUGGAGCACUGUCAACAUCAGAGAAGUUUUUUGUCCUGGGCAGUUUCAGUAGGUGCCGAAAGAAGUCUCAGUAACUGCUGGGCUUUGGGCUGUGAGGGGUCAGCUGCAAGUCUUUAAGUAAUGAUUUUUAGUAGGCCAGUACUUUUUGUUCUCUGUUUAUGACUAAUACCUGUUUUCAGAUUUAGCCUGGAGAGCUGCAAUAGAGUUGUGCCACUUCUGUAACGUUUUUUGUUAUUCCUUCAUAGGAUUUAAUGUGUCUUUGUGGGCUUCACUGUAUAGUGAAGGCUUAAAGCAUGGGUUUUGUGGAGAGCAGGAGACCAGAAAGUCAAGGAAAAGCAGAGGCUUAGGGAGAAAGUUGGAUGCAAUUACUCAAAAGGUUGAGAUUUAUAAAUAUAUAAAUAUGAGUAUGGGUGUGGUAAACUAUUGUACUGUAUAAGUGGCUGUAACUAUGGUAACAUGGGAAAAUGAGAAGUGGAAUCACAUAGCUGAUGAUAUUGCUCUUUAACUUGGAAAUCAACAUCAGUGUUUUGCUGGCUGUUAAAUCCAGUUUCAUCAACAGCUGGUGGAAAAGGGUCAGGCUUUUGCUGGAGGUGGACAGCAAAGGGAAAAAAACAAGUUCUUUGAAGGAAAGUAUUGAAAGGUGCUUUGGGCUGGGGGAGAACUCACAUUGCUGUUGGUUGCUCAGAGAGGUGGAAAAUCUACCGAUUUUCCAGGAGGGCUUCACAAAUUGACUUUGGGCAAGUGUACAAGGCAGCCUCCCUUGCAGUGGAGAGCUGAGCCAGAGGGAACUGAGAGGGCCCUUUCAGCCUAAGUUAUUCUUGCUGCAGUCAUUCUGGCAUUUUGUCCUCUUACUAGAGACGUUGUCCAUAAAUACUAAAAGGCAUGAGUAGUCCAACCUGAAUAUCUGGUGUUCAGGAAGGCUGGCUUUUCAUUUGUACUAUUGUACUGUUUCAUUAUCCUGCAGGUACUUAUAUCUAAAACAUCCAUGCUGUGCUGAAAGUUGGACUUGCUGUGGAAGAUAAUGACUGCUAUUUCACUGGAUGUAAGCUGAUUUGAAGAAUUGUUUCUUUAUUAGUUGUUUGGGAACUAAUGCUAAUGAGAGUCUCAGUUGCUGUCAUUUUCUCUUAGGGGGUAAAACAUUUUGUACUGUGUGAUUUAUUUUGAGAAUGGUGUAAUGAAUAACAGUACCUAAAAUGUUUUAUUUUAAACAAAAAAGAGAAUUAUUUUUUUAACAAGUGUUCUCUAAUACAGGGAUGUUUGCCAGAGGGAAGACCUUUAGAAUCAUGCUGGGUACUCAUAACAAUAUGAAUAAUAGUGUGACAUAGAUGAAAACUGUAAAUAAGCAGAUUUUUUUUUUUUUUGUAGGUAAUAUUUGGCUAUUUUCAGGUUCUACUUUUUAUUUCUUUGCAAGUUAAAGGUAUAGUCAGUUGUUUUUGUCUAGUAAAUUUAGUGAUGUAUGUAGUCUGCCUUGAAAGUAACAAGGAUUGCUGAAUAUGCACAGAAAAAUUGGUCGUAGAGCUUACUGGGGUGGUAAGUGAACAUCUGGAAGACCCUGCCAAGGAUGAUUUGGCAAAUUAAUUAGUACUGUAGGCAUAGCACCAGACAUGUCCAGUGCAGCUUACUACUCAGGGUGAAUAUAUGAUUUCUGAAAGAACAAAUAAUGCUCUUUCUUUAUGUCAGUCACUUAAGUGUAUUUAAUAGUAUUGAAUGGUGAUGCAGAGUAGUACUCAUUUGCUGUAAAUUAAAUCUUUAGUAACUAUAGAAGAGUAUUAUUGUUGGUUUGUAUGUGAAUCUGACACAUUUUCCAGGUAAUGAUUAAACAGAAAUACUUCAUUAGAAUUUUCAGUGUGAUUUCUGAAGUCUAAAACAUAGAAUAAUAGUGCUUAAUACCUGCCAUUAGCACAAACUCAGACACCUAUAUGCAGAGUCAGGGAACAAUCAGGUAGAUGUUCUGACUCUAAACUGGGAAAUAAAAUGUGUUCUCUCUGGCUCUUCUGUGCCUGCCUGAGGAGUAAUCUGAGUACACCUUAUACAGGCAUAAAAUAAUAGGCUCUACCAAGUGCUGGAACUAUUACAGGGAGUGAUGAUUAUAGAGUAUCUACAUUUGUAUGUAGUAAGUCUGAAACACUGCAAUUUGCGUAGUGUUCUGAACAAGAAACCUUUGGCUGCUGGAUGCUGUGAAAAGUAGGAAAGGACAAACAUGGAGAUUUCUUGAUAUUGAGAACAAUCUGCUACUUAAUUUCAGACUAACUUUCCACUGAGGUCUGUUUCUGGGAAGAAGUGAUGCGAGUAAGGUUUCCUUGAAAGAAAAGUAAAAUAUAAUUACCUUUAUUCAUUUAAUGACCUUUAUGUGAAUUUAGUAGCUUUCAGCCUAUUCUGUGAGGAUUGUGUGAAUUUGAGGUCUGAAAUGAUUAAAUAUUUCUUUCAAGAUAGCACUGAAGAGUACACUUAGUGGUUUCAACCAAAUCUGUAAUUGAACAUUUGACCAAAUUGAGGCUCUCUACAAUAUUCAGUUCAGAAGUGAAAAGUAUAUCCGGGCCAUAUGCCCCUAAAGACUUGUUUUUCUAUUGAAUUCCCUCAUUCCUUGGUUGGGCGUACUGUUAUACAGGACAACCUAAGUAUGAAAACGACCAGUUUUCUACGAAAUCAUGGUCAGUAUUUAUUUUUUGGUCAUGCUGUUUGUCGCGACGCCUUUAUUUCCCAGACAUUUUUCUGUUUAUUUGCAAUGCUCAACAACCUUCAGCUUUACUUUGCCACGUGACAAUGUGUUUAGUCUUGGUUAAAGCAUCCUGUAAAGCAGACAGCACUUGAGUAUGCUUUUUUUUCUGCUUGACUCUCCACAACAUUUAAAUAUUUGCAACAUUUAUAUAUUUGUUACAGUUUUGCAAUUCUCUUUUUGGUCACUGGCUGCUUAUAUUUUCCCUUACAGGGUAUCUGGUGCGUAAAUCGUAUGUUCUCUUUCUCUUUACAGUAUUCUUAAUUUUGCUGUUAGUACAUUUCUGGCCCUGAAAUUGCUCAGCCUGUAAAUAUUUCCAUUUUCAGCAUAAGGUGAUUAUGUGAUGAUACUAGAGUGUGAGGUGGAAGUGAUUCCUCUACUCCAGAGGAAAAUGCAGCCUUGGGUAAGUUAUGUAGGUUAUUAUGCUCUUUUGUCUGUAAGUAGAGAAUUGUUUGCUAUUUGUUUCACUACUCCAAUCUGGUGAAAGAAGAAAGACUUGGGUGACCUUAGCAGGAAGGGGGUUAGCAUGACUCUCCAAAACUGAGUGGUUCUUGGUAUUAGAGACUAUAGCAUUUAAAUCAUUAACUUGUCACCUUCAACUUAGGUGAAUCAACCGUUCCUUCUAAUAGAGAAGCAGGAGGGGGGGGGGAAACAGUGAAAAGCUAUGGUAUUUGUCAAGUUUUAGUUUCAUAGGCAAAAUAUUUUGUAUUAAGUUCCAUCUUAGUGGUGUGUACAGUAUGAUGGAAGGUAAGCUAACCAUAGAGUAACUGUCCUUUAGCAAGAAGGUUAUUCUAGUCUUGUCACAAAUUAGGUCUGUGUCUCUUCUGCACGUUGCCUGGCUUGGAGAUUCCAUUCAAAUGGCAGAAUGGAUGUUUGGAAAACAUUAAAUGGUGGAUCUGGAGAGGAACUCAAUUUGUAUUUCAGGCAAGAACUCUCAGUGAGACACUAAAUACCUCUUUUCCCAUGCUACUGAAUCUAAACCAGGUAAACUAUUAAAGGCUCAUCUUUGUGCAUCUGUUUUAUUUUGUAAUCCUUUUUUGUUAUUUUUGCAGAUAAUUUGGUUAGUAAAGUUACCUCUUGGUUACUACAACAUCCCACGAUACUGAAUGUAACAUCAUUAUAGAUUCAACAAGCAAAAACAAAGGAACAACAAAAACUCAUCUCCACAGAAUGAAAUAUCUUCAGUAUCUUUUUUUAAACUCUGUAUUGGUGUGACUAAACUAAUUCAUAGUUCUAGUUUGUGUAUUACUUGACAUUUACUUGUCAUUUAUGCUGUUGCAUUAAGAAAACUGUUGAGUGUGAAAGAUGUGUGAGGCAAAACACUGGAAGAACACUCAGUAGAAAAGCUGAGUUAUUCCUGACACUUCUUUGAUGCGCGCUAUCUGAGGCCUGAGAAAAGCAAAUUAAGUCAGCUUAUACUUAAAGUAUAAGGGAUUUAGAUUUAUAUCUUCACUGAAGUUUAAUGGGGAAUAUGUUUAAAUCCCCUGACUUUUUUUCACCAUGGUCCCGUAAUCUGCUUUGAGAGAGACUGACACAAAAAUAACUUCAAAUACUAGACAAAUCAGAUGUUUUUCUAUUUGUUUUGUAAUGUCAAUAAAAUAAUAUUACUUGCAUUGAAUGCAGGUGCAAAUGAGACUUGAAAAUAUAGGACUUGUUGACAUACAGAAUAUUGAUUUGACUUCUCAAGGAAUUAAUUCCUUUUUGAAAAUUAGACUAAACUGAUUUACCUGUUUUCAUCAUUCAGUUACUAGGCAUCUUGGGGAUAGAUAUUAGAUCUUUUCAUGGUGCACUUCAGAGAUUGUAUAUUGCCAUGGCACAUUGUUAACUUCUAUGAUAUGAGCAAGAUUUGUGAGUCUUUAAUUGAAAAGCUACUUGAACUUCAUCCACAUAAUAAUAAUAAUGAAUGUUAUUCAUUAAUUUUUGCAUGCUUUACUGUUCAGUGAUCGUUAUUAUAUUCUUUAAGUGGACUUCUUUUUUCACAAAAUAUGAUUAAUACCAAGUAAACCUAAGGGUAAAAUUAUUAUAGAUGCUUUAUGGUGCCAAGAGACUUGACAGUAAGAACUGUAACUUGAGUUUGGAUGGUAAGAAAAUUGUUUCAGACACCUAAGUACUUCUGAGUGAAACUCUGUAGCACUGAUAGGAGAUGCUGAACCCUGAACAAGGUACUUUUGUAAACAUCAGUGCUAGGUGUGUACCUGUAGAGCUGCAGAUGUCUCAGUAUAAAACUGUUUUCCAACUUAGCAGCCAUAGCUGGAAAACAUUCUUUGUUUAUGUGUCAGAUUUCUAGGCCUAUUCUAGCACUUUUAUUAAUCUUUUAAGUGGAAAAACUUAGGAGAGUGGCUGAGUUCCUAAGGGUGGCUAAUCAAUAAUCCAGUUAAGUUGUGAUGCUUUGCUUCAGUCUCAUGAUAGAGAACAUAAAUGAGUAAACAAAGAGUCAUGACUGGCUCCAAGGUAAUUGUAAUGUAAUAAAAAGAGACACGGAAGAUCGUUGAAGCUAUGCUUUAUGCUUGGUUUACAUACUAAUUUUCAGAAGUAACCUUGGGAAGCAGAUCCUUUUUUUUUAUCAGGGAAGACUUUUUGAUAGAGUUCAUCUUAUAUAUCUUCUAAUGUCUUCUGGUAAAAAGAAAUAAAUAAAAUAGUAUCAAUAUAAAGAAAUGUGUAUGUGAAUAUAUAAUAAUUAUCUAUAAUAUAUACACCUUGAAAGAGUAAAAACAAUGUUUUCCCCAAGCAAGUGACUAGAUAGAGGGAUCAAUGCUUCUCUUGCUUGAGUAACUUCCCUAGGUGGCUCAUCUGUCGAUGUGAUGUACCUUCACAGUGGGGCCUUGCUCUCAUAUGGAAGCUGACUGCUUGCCUUUUCAUUAAGUUUUUUUUUUUUUGUAUUUGGGUAUGGUGUUACAAGCAGUUAAUUGGGGAAAAAAUGUACUGAAAAGUUGGCUGUGGCCUAUCCAUACAUGCCUGUUUUUUUUUUUUUUUCUGUGGAUAAGACUUCUCUCUUUCUGGUUUUAUGAUUCAGCUGAAGAGCAUAUCAACCCAUAAGAGAAGAUCAAGGAGAUUUCAAUCAUAGUGGAGCCUACCAUACUGUCUUGGAAGUUAUUAACAUCUUGAAUUUCUUAACAUCCACGUGUCUUUCAAGCUUCAAUUUCAUUGUGGAGUAUGUGUGCAUGCGUAAUUAUGUAUUUUGUGUUUAUCAGCCCCAUCAAACUGUCAACAAUUUAAAAAUAAAAAUCUGGAACAUCAACUUAACUGAUUUACUUGGUUUUCUUAUCAUAGCUUGCUUCCUGUGCUCAAGUCUUGGCAUGUAUUAUUGCAUUUCAAAUUCCAUUGAGCUUGUGAUUGUAAGGGGCUAAGUUUUUAAACUCAAGAAGCAAUUUGAAAUCUUCCAGAUGCAAUUACAAUACCUCUCAGUGAUCUAGUAGUCUUGAUGAUUAAAAAUAUCAUUUGACAAGUAUUUUCAUAUUUUUGCUUACAAAAUCAUGCAGAAGCCCAAAGAGAUAGUAACACAAGUACCCUUUAAAAAUUCCGUAUGGAAAGAAAACUAUUUCACUUAAAAUGAAAUUUUGCCUCCCUUAACGAUAUGUUUUGCUCUGCAUGCAGCAGAAACAGUCAAUUUUUUUCUUUAAAAUAAGUUCUUUCCCUCACACCUCUGGUAUGGAAACAACUUGCUGAAACAAUAGAAUAUGAGGUAUAAGUAUAAAAGAUAGAGAGCUCUCUAUUUGCAUCCUAUCCAAAAGAAUUAACACAAUUUGUAUAUGGCUCUUGUGAACAAGAACUAAAGAAGUUGAAUGUCUCAAAUAGAGGUGUCAGAUAUUUGUUCUACUUGGAAUACAUCAAAAGGGGAAGAAAUCCAUGGAACAGAUCUGUAGUAAUCUUACAUGAAAUUGCAAUUCUAUACACAGAAAAAAAUUGUAAAUUCAUAACAAUUUGAAGGAAGAUUCAGUAUGCAUUCAUAUUAGUAUUCAGUACUCAUUAGUAUUCAUCUACAUUAAAAUUUAAUAGCCUUUGUAUUAAGCUCAAAGUUUUCUAUGUUUCAGAUUCAUCUGUCUUUCAAGUCUUUUGUAAAUAGGAAAUUAUGAUUCUCUGGCUCUCUAAAUUGAUUUCUCAUUUUUUUCCAAUUAAAUACUUCUGGGUAUGUAGUUUAGGAUACAAGAACUUGCUGUGCUUCAGCAACUCGAGUCUCUAGUGGUUCUGACUUUAAUAGAGAAGCUCUUUAAAAAGUGACAUAGUCAAUGUAAAAGCUAUGGUUGAAUUCACCGAAAAAUUAUUUUCCUUCUGUCCUUUACUCAUGUUGUUUGCUUUGGUAAAAACAUAACAAUGGGUGCUCUGCCAGGAACACAUGGAUCUUGGCAAAGCUCCAAUAUGUCUGUUUUUAUCUCUUGGAAAUGAAAAAUAACUGGCAACAAGAAUGUAAAAAGAUGGAUAACGUGAUGUGGUUCUCACAGGAGCUACUUGCUGAAAGGAGUUCAGAUGUCUCCUCAUAGAUGGCCACUAGUGACAGUUAUGGACAGCUUUACUUGUUUAGUCCUUUAUGAAAACUGACAGUGGGCAGGUGAUUUAACUGGUGUAGUUUUUCUUUGUAUUUCUAGUAUGAGUUCUCACAGCAAAGGUUUCAUUUCUUUCCUUUGUUUUUCCUUUUUUAAGUUCUUACUAACAGAAUCUGUGGAAUGCAUUUGGACUUUUUGUCUGCCUAAAUCCAAGGAUAAGAAGUCCGUAUGAUAAAAAAUAUGUGAUGAUUGCAAAGUUAUAUGGGAACAAGCCGGUAAAUGCUCACUUGAUAGAGACCUCUUAUUUCAUUUUAACCUAAUUUCAAACUAAAAGCUCUGACUCUCUAUGAGUUAUUGACUGUUUUCAUGUAGGUAUUUACAGAAAUAACAUUUUACUUCUGUGCUUUGGUUGUCUGACAGACCACUGUCUUCUCUAGAGAAACAAGUUGUAAUGGGUUCCUCAGUGACCUUAAAUCUGCAUGGUUCUUGAACUGCUAAUGGGAGCAGAAAAUGGUUUCCUACUAAUAAUUUCCUAAAGCUAAAAAGCUUUAUUUCUUUUUAAGCACC
This 8346-nucleotide long non-coding RNA is filed under the name Gallus gallus (chicken). The record is from RNAcentral. Lineage: Eukaryota; Metazoa; Chordata; Aves; Galliformes; Phasianidae.